AUGGAGAAGUGAAAGUCCUGCCAUCUGACGGAAUAGGUGGUUGAAGAGUGUAGAUGUAGAUUCCUGUAGGCAAAUCCGCAGGGAGAGUCGACCUUGAUAGUAUGCCGCGUGCUUGCACAAGGCAAAAUGGACGUAAUCAGGCUCCCAAGAAAAUCCGCUAAGCAUAUUCAUAAAGUACCCGUACCGUAAACGGACACACGUAGUUGGGUUGAAAAUACUGAGGCGCUCGAGUGAUUCACGGUUAAGGAACUAGGCAAAUUGACCCUGUAACUUCGGGAUAAAGGGUCCCUACUGAGAGGUAGGGCGCAGAGAAUAGGUCCAGGCAACUGUUUAACAAAAACACAUGGCUGUGCGAAAUAGAAAUAUGAAGUAUACAGCCUGACACCUGCCCGGUGCUGGAAGGUUAAGAGGAGAGCUCGUCGCAAGAGAAGGCUUGAAUUGAAGCCCCAGUAAACGGCGGCCGUAACGAUAACGGUCCUAAGGUAGCGAAAUUCCUUGUCGGGUAAGUUCCGACCUGCACGAAUGGUGUAAUGAUCUGGACACUGUCUCAACCGUGAGCUCGGUGAAAUUGUAGUAUCGGUGAAGAUGCCGAUUACCCGCGAUGGGACGAAAAGACCCCGUGAACCUUUACUAUAGCUUUACAUUGAAUUUGGGCAAUCGAUGUGUAGGAUAGGCCGGAGACUGUGAAGCAGGUACGCCAGUAUUUGUGGAGUCGCCGUUGAAAUACGGCCCUUUGGUUGUUUGAGUUCUAACCCGCAGAAGCGGGGACACUGUAUGGGGGGUAGUUUGACUGGGGUGGUCGCCUCCAAAAGAGUAACGGAGGCUUCUAAAGGUACCCUCAGACCGAUUGGUAACCGGUCGUAGAGUGUAAUGGCAUAAGGGUGCUUGACUGGGAGACAGACAAGUCGAUCAGGUAGGAAACUAGAGCAUAGUGAUCCGGUGGUUCCGCAUGGAAGGGCCAUCGCUCAAAGGAUAAAAGGUACUCCGGGGAUAUCAGGCUGAUCGCUCCCAAGAGCUCAUAUCGACGGAGCGGUUUGGCGCCUCGAUGUCGGCUCGUCACAUCCUGGGGCUGGAGAAGGUCCCAAGGGUUGGGCUGUUCGCCCAUUAAAGUGGCACGCGAGCUGGGUUCAGAACGUCGUGAGACAGUUCGGUCUCUAUCUAUCGUGGGCGUAGGAUAUUUGAGGGGCUCUGACACCAGUACGAGAGGACCGUGUUGGACAGACCACUGGUUUACCGGUUGUACCGCCAGGUGCACCGCCGGGUAUCUAAGUCUGGAUUGGAUAAGUGCUGAAAGCAUCUAAGUACGAAGCCAGCCUCAAGAUGAGAUAUCCCUAGAGGGUCGUUGUAGACUACGACGUAGAUAGGCUACAGGUGUAAGGGCAGCAAUGUCGAAGCCGAGUAGUACUAAUAGCCCGAAAAA
RNAcentral lists this ribosomal RNA (1420 nucleotides) under metagenome. RNAcentral's name for it is "bacterial LSU rRNA". It matches the Rfam family "Bacterial large subunit ribosomal RNA", at positions 1472 to 2925 of the family's 2925-position model. The record is from RNAcentral.